Molecule: long non-coding RNA, 227 nt
Filed under: Cucumis sativus (cucumber)
Lineage: Eukaryota; Viridiplantae; Streptophyta; Magnoliopsida; Cucurbitales; Cucurbitaceae
Description: long non-coding RNA (CSAT_LNC000563)
Source: RNAcentral
UUCAAUACUAUAUUGAUGAAUUAUUUGUUUAGCUUAUAGACUACUGUGAUAUAUAACUCUUAUGAGGAGUUAAUGAGUUACUGUAACAAUUGUGAUGGAUAAAUAUUGACUUAGUUAUGAGUUACUUAUCAUUGCAUUGGUUUGGUCUAAGGCUACUGUAGAAUGUGUAAAGGGUAGUGUAACAUGUGGUUACUUAGAAAUGGUUAAGUAUGAUGAUUGUUUGGGCC